GCUUUAAGAACUGUGGACCGGCUGGUCAACUGGAGAGGAAGCCAGGCCUGUUUAGAAAGAUAUAUCUUAUUUGUUCCUGACCUCUUCUGGAGCUCUCAGCGCAUUUCAGAGUUUAAUAGAUUAGACACCACAGCUCCACUAUGAAACAGAACUUGCAUUCCUUGGCUGCCUCUGGAUGUGCAAAUGCUGGUGGAGGCUGGAACCCCCCUGUGCCUGACUAGCAGCCAGCAGAUACCUUCCUUGGUCAAGGACCUUGCUGCAUCUCUCUGCAUUUCUCACUUCCAUUCUGGAUCACUGCACUCCUCACCAGAACAAAGUGUUUCCAUGAAGGGGUUAAUCCAGGUAGAAACUAAGAAAAAAAGCCAGAAGAUCUCCUGCCUGUGGAAAUGAAAGGAAGGAAGGAAGUAGGAAGGAAGUUAUUUGGACAAGCAAUUUGCAUCGAGCUGAGAGAUGCUGGAUUUUAAGAAAAAGCAGUAAAUGAUUGCAGGUCUUAACUUUCCUUGUUAAACUAAUGAGGUCUGUGUGGAUGGGGUUUACAUGAAAUGGGAUUCCUUCUAGGUUAAAUGGAAUGUCUGUAGAAUGGCAGCAAUGAUUUCUAAAGUGUAGGUCUGAUGGUCUCUCUGAAGUUGUUAUUCUUUAUGAAUAGGUUCAUAAAGAUUUUUCUCAGCUUUAUUACUUCUGUCUGAGAACAUAAAACUUUACACAUGCACUACAUAUUGAAUAUAUUUAAUGAUAUUGAAGUGUUCAUGAUAUGAGGCUCUGGUUACAGGCAGGUAGCAUCUUUGUGGGUAUGGGAUUAACUGUUAUUUUUCUAGCUGAAACUGUAGCGUAACUGCUGUUUUUCUAGCAGAAGCUGUACCUUAAUCCUGACAAAAACAGAAACAUCAGAAGGAUUUGCUCUGUGAAUAAGAAGUGAGACAGCAAAUCCGGGGUUUUAAGGUCUGCAGUUAAUAAAACUUUAUACUGCUGAGAAGUCAGUAAGUAUCU
This is a long non-coding RNA of Lagopus leucura (white-tailed ptarmigan), 987 nucleotides long. RefSeq lists it as uncharacterized. The transcript is spliced from 4 exons. Lineage: Eukaryota; Metazoa; Chordata; Aves; Galliformes; Phasianidae. The record is from RefSeq and is a predicted model, not a curated record.